UAACCUGCCCAAGAGAUCGGGAUAACACCUGGAAACAGAUACUAAUACCGGAUAAUAACAGAUGAUGCCUAUCAACUGUUUAAAAGAUGGUUCUGCUAUCACUCUUGGAUGGACCUGCGGUGCAUUAGCUAGUUGGUAGGGUAACGGCCUACCAAGGCGAUGAUGCAUAGCCGAGUUGAGAGACUGAUCGGCCACAUUGGGACUGAGACACGGCCCAAACUCCUACGGGAGGCAGCAGCA
This 240-nucleotide ribosomal RNA is filed under the name uncultured Lactobacillus sp. RNAcentral's name for it is "partial 16S ribosomal RNA". It matches the Rfam family "Bacterial small subunit ribosomal RNA", at positions 122 to 355 of the family's 1533-position model. Lineage: Bacteria; Bacillati; Bacillota; Bacilli; Lactobacillales; Lactobacillaceae. The record is from RNAcentral.